RNAcentral lists this ribosomal RNA (395 nucleotides) under Kockovaella cucphuongensis. RNAcentral's name for it is "LSU rRNA". It matches the Rfam family "Eukaryotic large subunit ribosomal RNA", at positions 44 to 434 of the family's 3401-position model. The record is from RNAcentral. Lineage: Eukaryota; Fungi; Basidiomycota; Tremellomycetes; Tremellales; Cuniculitremaceae.
CAAUAAGCGGAGGAAAAGAAACUAACAAGGAUUCCCCUAGUAACGGCGAGUGAACAGGGAAGAGCUCAAAUUUGUAAUCUGGCGUCCCUUGGGCGUCCGAGUUGUAAUCUAUAGAAGUGUUUUCCGUGCUGGACCAUGUCCAAGUCCCUUGGAACAGGGUUCAAAGAGGGUGACAAUCCCGUGCUUGACAUGACGACCAGUGCUCUGUGAUACGCUCUCUACGAGUCGAGUUGUUUGGGAAUGCAGCUCAAAAUGGGUGGUGAGUUCCAUCUAAAGCUAAAUAUUGGCGAGAGACCGAUAGCGAACAAGUACCGUGAGGGAAAGAUGAAAAGCACUUUGGAAAGAGAGUUAAACAGUACGUGAAAUUGUUGAAAGGGAAACGAUUGAAGUCAGUA